AUAUAGAUCUAUCUAAACACCACAUUCUUUUUCCACUAUCUACACCACAGUCGACAGCGAUGAGCAGACAUCUCUUCUCCCCCACUUCAUUGCCGAUAGCCACCAUUGUCGCUUCUCCUCUACUUGUUCUCAUUGGUGCCACCAUUGUCCCUUCUCCUCCAGCCCUUCUCAGCGGCGCAACCCAACCACCAUUUUAAUCAAAGCAGUAACAAGUCGAUGGUCACCAUUCAAUGACACCACCAGCGGUAGGUCGACAGCAAAGGAAAUUGCAUCAGGUAGUAUUAAAGAGUGAUAAUGCAACCUUCAACUUCAUUAACGUCUUGGAGAAUUUGCUGUGGGCAUUUGAUAUUCAAGCCACUGCUUCAUGGGUUUACAAUUGACAGUUAAGAGGAGCAUCUAUAGCCAUAAUGCGUUCAGGUGGAUGCUGACAGAUUAAAGAGUGAAAGAUAAGCUCUCUUUUGUGUUAUUUGUAUUUAUACCAAGAAAAUAAGGCAAUUCUAGAUUGAAGAGGACGAAAGGAUGUCCCAUUUUAUGAAAUUAAAAGAAAAAAGUCUGAAAGUUGUAAUACUAUAUUACAUGCCAAAUUACAUUACUUUCUCUUAUAAUUUUGUUUUCACUUUGAAUUACUUUGCUCAUAUCCUGUGAUCUUUAUGAGGCAGGGUCGCUAACCAAAAUUAGGGGUUGAUUUUAGAAAGUUGUCAGGUGGUGCAACUCUGUUGGUCUUACUUUGUGGCUUGAUCACAUGCAGAUUCAGCCCCUCCAUCAUCUCCGGACUGCAUUUUACCAGUAUGACAACCUCCUCCUACUAUAUUAAAACUUAAUUAUGAUCAUAUUUGGUGUUACUCACCAGCAGUUGGGGAGGCUAUGGCUCUUUUGGAAGUCUCUUGGCAAGGUCUUAGAGGUUUUGAGAUGUGAUCUGUGAGGUUAAUUCUACUCUUCUAUUUUCGGCGUUAUCUCAAUCACUUUGCUAGGUUUCUUGGAAUAUUCGGGCAUGAGAACAAGAAGCUUGCUGAAGGAGGUUUUGGCACUUUUUAAAGAGGUUUCUUGAAGGAUUCCAAUUGAUGACGGUUGUUAAUAGGGUGUCGAGGGAGUCUAAACAAGGGUUUAAAGAGUAUACAACAGCUAAUAGAGUAGAAAGCUGGAAUCAUUUAAGGAGACAGUAGAUUAGAACAUUUUCCAAAAAUCUAGGCUUAGAGUUUAGAGAAAGUAUUAAAAGUUAACUAUGGUUAACUUUUUUCUUUUCUUGUUUUUUUUUAAAGUUUGUAUGAUAUAUAAUGUGUUGGAUUUCAAUUGGAUUGAACACAGCGGAAGAAAUAGAAAAAUAAAAUUUUUUCAUCAAUAUGGAUCACGUUUAAACGAAUAAAUCAAUAAUAUUUAAAGAGAAAAUAAAUAUUUUUUAUUUUCUUACAACAAAACACGAAAUUGUUCGCGUUAGUUGCAUUGUUACAAAUCACAAACCAUCCAAGUGUUCAGUCUCUAAUAAUAUUCACACAGAAUGGUAAUCUAAAAACUUUAGAACCGUUUUAAGAUAUUGAAAAAAGAAAGGUUUUGAAUGCUAACUCUCUGCAUUUCCUAUAAAUUCUGGAGACUUUCAAAAGGG
Molecule: long non-coding RNA, 1600 nt
Organism: Manihot esculenta (cassava)
Lineage: Eukaryota; Viridiplantae; Streptophyta; Magnoliopsida; Malpighiales; Euphorbiaceae
Exons: 5
Source: RefSeq, a predicted model, not a curated record